AGUGAGAAAGGACAAACCAUAGUGUUACAUUCACCUGUAGUUAACCAUGCCGAGGGAUUUGACAGAUAUAAAUCUGAUGAGUUACCACAUGAAGCAGGUUUUGACGCGUAUAUGUGCGGAGUUGUGUUUCUGAGAGUUGGACAUAUACUGACAUUCAAAGAUAAUAAGUCCUCAGAAGUUAUACCAUGUAUGUUCCGAAGAUAUUUACAAACAUUAGAAAAGAAAAGAAACAAAAUCAACGUAAUUAGAGCUACUAUAAAUCAUAUU
Long non-coding RNA from Ruditapes philippinarum (Manila clam), 267 nucleotides. RefSeq lists it as uncharacterized. The record is from RefSeq and is a predicted model, not a curated record. NCBI's taxonomy places the organism in Eukaryota, Metazoa, Mollusca, Bivalvia, Venerida, Veneridae. The transcript has 4 exons.